UGUCAUCGCAUAUGUAGGAGGUGGAACAACAUGGUUGGUUAAGGCAUAUUGAGCAUGGCUAGAGGCUCUACAGUGAAAUAAGACAGUAAUCACUAACCAGGACAGUAAUGGACGAGGCAUAUUGAUAUUAGAGAGAGGCAUGCGUAGCCAAGUGAUCAUAUGGGUCCAGUGAGUGGUUGGGCUGACUGGGGACACAGCGAUUCAGACAGUUAGCAGGCCAAUGCUAACAAGCUAACAGUUAGUAGGCCGGGGCUAAACAAGCUAGCAGUUAGCAGACCGGGGCUAGCAAGCUAGCAGACCGGGGCUAGAAGGUUAUCAGAAGGGCCUUUGGGGGACGUCACGAUGGAGAAGCUGCAGCCAGCCACUGGCGAUGCCAGGAUUCCAAUAUUGGCUGCGCCAGAGAAAUGUGUGGCCAUGAUGAAACUUAUUUUUCUGUCAUUCGGGAGAAUGAUGGUCCACAAGACCACGACAGGCAGCGCAUCUCAGUAUCAGGAGAAGCCCAUAAUUCCAAUGGCAUCUGUUAAUGCCAAUACAUCCUAACAAAAUCCACAUAUGACUGCCCUGUUAAUGUGCCUUGCUGGACCUUGUGAACUUUCGAAAGUAGACCCAUAGGGCUAACUGAUCCACAUGUUUUCCUAAUAAGGCAUAUGCUCGAUGCGGUUAUUUUGGAAUUAAACAUGAACAUUUGAGUAAAGUUAUUAUCUGAGACAUAGUGCCACCUGCUGGGGAAAUGUGUCCUUCCUGUAAGGUCCAUAUCUAUCCCCCUGAGUGCUAACCUAUGGAAGCACAUUCCUGCCACCAAAAUGUCAAGAUAGUAGACCGUACUUACAGGUUAUGUAGCGUAUGUUUCUUCAUUUGUAACACUGUGUGGUUAUUUCAGAGAUGGUAUCAAGGAGUGAUGGGGGGGAAAUAGUUUUCCUGGGGACCAGAGUUUUUCCUGAUCUGGUAGGCUAACGUAACCAGGUUAAACUCCAGACCCUAGUUGUAGGGUCUGACAUAGUAAUAAAUCAGCUUUAUUCUUUUCUAAUCAGGUCAUAUGGUUUAAAAAGACAACUGUGAUUGGACAAUAGAAUUUACAGGGCUGAGAUGGUUGUAUGCAGGAUUGCAUCGGGUAGGCCUUUGGAUCUGUAAUUAAAAAUAUACUCAUACAGUAUGUCAUCACUAUUGUGUUGGUUGAUUCAUUCCAGUCAAUAAUUCUGGAUUAAAAAGGUCUAGGUAGCCAAGCCACCCGAAGUGUGAAUAUAAACCACAUUUGAUCACAUUCACAUUUUCUCAGAACAAAAAUAAAUGGGCCUAUAACUUAGUCCAUAAAAACAUAACGUUACGUUACCCCUGGCCCAGAUGGG
Molecule: long non-coding RNA, 1346 nt
Filed under: Salmo salar (Atlantic salmon)
Lineage: Eukaryota; Metazoa; Chordata; Actinopteri; Salmoniformes; Salmonidae
Description: lncRNA (ENSSSAG00000116378.1)
Source: RNAcentral